RNAcentral lists this ribosomal RNA (406 nucleotides) under uncultured bacterium. RNAcentral's name for it is "partial 16S ribosomal RNA". It matches the Rfam family "Bacterial small subunit ribosomal RNA", at positions 29 to 526 of the family's 1533-position model. The record is from RNAcentral.
AUUGAACGCUGGCGGCAGGCCUAACACAUGCAAGUCGCACGAGGGGCGGACGGGUGAGUAAUGUCUGGGAAACUGCCCGAUGGAGGGGGAUAACUACUGGAAACGGUAGCUAAUACCGCAUACCAUCGGAUGUGCCCAGAUGGGAUUAGCUAGUAGGUGGGGUAACGGCUCACCUAGGCGACGAUCCCUAGCUGGUCUGAGAGGAUGACCAGCCACACUGGAACUGAGACACGGUCCAGACUCCGACGGGAGGCAGCAGUGGGGAAUAUUGGACAAGGGGCGCAAGCCGGAUGCAGCCAUGCCGCGUGUAUGAAGAAGGCCUUCGGGUUGUAAAGUACUGUCAGCGGGGAGGCGUUACCCGCAGAAGAAGCACCGGCUAACUCCGUGCCAGCAGCCGCGGUAAUAC